Molecule: ribosomal RNA, 253 nt
Filed under: uncultured bacterium
Lineage: Bacteria
Description: partial 16S ribosomal RNA
Rfam family: Bacterial small subunit ribosomal RNA
Source: RNAcentral
UACGUAGGGGGCGAGCGUUGUCCGGAAUUAUUGGGCGUAAAGAGCGUGUAGGCGGUUCGGUAAGUCCGCCGUGAAAACCUGGGGCUCAACCCUGGGCGUGCGGUGGAUACUGCUGGGCUAGAGGAUGGUAGAGGCGAGUGGAAUUCCCGGUGUAGCGGUGAAAUGCGCAGAUAUCGGGAAGAACAUCGGUGGCGAAAGCGCUCUGCUGGACUGCAACUGACACUCAGGGACGAAAGCUAGGGGAGCGAAUGGG